GUCUGGUCGGAGUGCAAUGGUGUUUACAACAAAUUGAUCACAACCAGUUAAGAGAUUUUUUUGUUCCUUCUCCACUCCCACUGCUUCACUUGACUAAAAA
RNAcentral lists this Y RNA (100 nucleotides) under Carlito syrichta (Philippine tarsier). Its description in RNAcentral is "Y RNA (ENSTSYG00000025577.1)". It matches the Rfam family "Y RNA". From Rfam's summary of the family: Y RNAs are components of the Ro ribonucleoprotein particle (Ro RNP), in association with Ro60 and La proteins. The record is from RNAcentral. Lineage: Eukaryota; Metazoa; Chordata; Mammalia; Primates; Tarsiidae.